UGGGGAAUAUUGGACAAUGGAGGAAACUCUGAUCCAGCAAUUCUGUGUGUGUGAAGAAGGUUUUAGGACUGUAAAACACUUUUAGUAGGGAAGAAAAAAAUGACGGUACCUACAGAAGAAGCAACGGCUAAAUACGUGCCAGCAGCCGCGGUAAUACGUAUGUUGCGAGCGUUAUCCGGAAUUAUUGGGCUUAAAGGGCAUCUAGGCGGUAAGACAAGUUGAAGGUGAAAACCUGUGGCUCAACCAUAGUCUUGCCUACAAAACUGUUGAACUAGAGUACUGGAAAGGUGGGUGGAACUACACGAGUAGAGGUGAAAUUCGUAGAUAUGUGUAGGAAUGCCAAUGAUGAAGAUAACUAACUGGACAGAAACUGACGCUGAAGUGCGAAAGCUAGGGGAGCAAACAGG
RNAcentral lists this ribosomal RNA (407 nucleotides) under Verrucomicrobiota bacterium. RNAcentral's name for it is "Verrucomicrobia bacterium partial 16S ribosomal RNA". It matches the Rfam family "Bacterial small subunit ribosomal RNA", at positions 355 to 776 of the family's 1533-position model. Lineage: Bacteria; Pseudomonadati; Verrucomicrobiota. The record is from RNAcentral.